RNAcentral lists this ribosomal RNA (497 nucleotides) under uncultured bacterium. RNAcentral's name for it is "partial 16S ribosomal RNA". It matches the Rfam family "Bacterial small subunit ribosomal RNA", at positions 28 to 507 of the family's 1533-position model. The record is from RNAcentral.
GAUGAACGCUGGCGGCGUGCCUAAUACAUGCAAGUCGAGCGAACGGACGAGAAGCUUGCUUCUCUGAUGUUAGCGGCGGACGGGUGAGUAACACGUGGAUAACCUACCUAUAAGACUGGGAUAACUUCGGGAAACCGGAGCUAAUACCGGAUAAUAUUUUGAACCGCAUGGUUCAAAAGUGAAAGACGGUCUUGCUGUCACUUAUAGAUGGAUCCGCGCUGCAUUAGCUAGUUGGUAAGGUAACGGCUUACCAAGGCAACGAUGCAUAGCCGACCUGAGAGGCGGAUCGGCCACACGGGAACGGAGACACGGUCCAGACUCCUACGGGAGGCAGCAGUAGGGAAUGUUCCGCAAUGGGCGAAAGCCUGACGGAGCAACGGCGCGUGAGUGAUGAAGGUCUUCGGAUCGUAAAACUCUGUUAUUAGGGAAGAACAUAUGUGUAAGUAACUGUGCACAUCUUGACGGUACCUAAUCAGAAAGCCACGGCUAACUACGUG